GGAGACAUGGACUCCUUUACCACCCCCCGGAGAACUUCAGACUUUGUUUUAGCCCCGAGGACCUUUGGGCUUGUAUGGAUAAAGCGCUAUAGCAGUUACAGUUCCGAGGAGGGCCCUUUGACUCGACCAUUGAUAGAUACCUCAGGACCCGACCCCGAACCCUCGUGAAGAACCCCGAUGAGUGUGACGACCCCCCCCCCCCAAAGUGGGAAGAUGAUCAUGGCUUGGGGGAGUCACUGGUGGACAAGGUGAACGGGAAAGACGUUGCUCAGCUCGACGAUGCCUUUCAAGAGGCCUUUGAGAACUUACACAUCGGUAGCCCUGUUGUGCAUCAGCUGUUUUUGCUCCUGUCUGAGAUGCGGAUCUCAAGAGGAAAAUCCGGAAAAGGACAAAAUAGAAGAAUGAACCAGCUCAGAGUCUUUCGUUGUAGGGGUCAUGGCGUCCAUUUUUACAGGUGGCUGUCAAAGGUUGUGUUAAACCAGGCAAUUAAUUAAACUUAUUUAAAUGUG
Mauremys reevesii (Reeves's turtle) is the source of this 509-nucleotide long non-coding RNA. RefSeq lists it as uncharacterized. The record is from RefSeq and is a predicted model, not a curated record. Lineage: Eukaryota; Metazoa; Chordata; Testudines; Geoemydidae. The transcript has 2 exons.